This 327-nucleotide ribosomal RNA is filed under the name marine sediment bacterium BB0608_AND_6.2_3G0. RNAcentral describes it as "bacterial SSU rRNA". It matches the Rfam family "Bacterial small subunit ribosomal RNA", at positions 120 to 482 of the family's 1533-position model. The record is from RNAcentral.
GGGACCUACCUCUUAGUGGGGGAUAACGGUUGGAAACGACCGCUAAUACCGCAUACGCCCUUCGGGGGAAAGAUUUAUCGCUAAGAGAUGGACCCGCGUUGGAUUAGAUAGUUGGUGAGGUAACGGCUCACCAAGUCAGCGGUCCAUAGCUGGUUUGAGAGGAUGAUCAGCCACACUGGGACUGAGACACGGCCCAGACUCCUACGGGAGGCAGCAGUGGGGAAUAUUGGACAAUGGGGGCAACCCUGAUCCAGCCAUGCCGCGUGAGUGAAGAAGGCCUUCGGGUUGUAAAGCUCUUUCAGAUGCGAAGAUGAUGACGGUAACAUC